AAGAGAGAAUUUGUUUGUUCCAGGGUCAUUUUAAAGAGGCUACACACAUGUUCAUAAGCUCCGCCCACUUGACCUCAGGUUUCUCUCCAAAAGAA
Thalassophryne amazonica is the source of this 95-nucleotide long non-coding RNA. RefSeq lists it as uncharacterized. The record is from RefSeq and is a predicted model, not a curated record. The transcript has 4 exons. Lineage: Eukaryota; Metazoa; Chordata; Actinopteri; Batrachoidiformes; Batrachoididae.